CAGCAGCCGCGGUAAAACGGAGGGUGCAAGCGUUAAUCGGAAUUACUGGGCGUAAAGCGCACGCAGGCGGUCUGUCAAGUCAGAUGUGAAAUCCCCGGGCUUAACCUGGGAACUGCAUUUGAAACUGGCAGGCUAGAGUCUUGUAGAGGGGGGUAGAAUUCCAGGUGUAGCGGUGAAAUGCGUAGAGAUCUGGAGGAAUACCGGUGGCGAAGGCGGCCCCCUGGACAAAGACUGACGCUCAGGUGCGAAAGCGUGGGGAGCAAACAGGAUUAGAUACCCCUGUAGUCCCUGUCUCUUAUAC
This 301-nucleotide ribosomal RNA is filed under the name uncultured bacterium. Its description in RNAcentral is "partial 16S ribosomal RNA". It matches the Rfam family "Bacterial small subunit ribosomal RNA", at positions 509 to 807 of the family's 1533-position model. The record is from RNAcentral.